RNAcentral lists this non-coding RNA (28 nucleotides) under Mus musculus (house mouse). Lineage: Eukaryota; Metazoa; Chordata; Mammalia; Rodentia; Muridae. The record is from RNAcentral.
UGGGAACAGUGCCUGGGUGUCCUCCUGC